UACGUAGGGUGCAAGCGUUAAUCGGAAUUACUGGGCGUAAAGGGCGCGUAGGCGGCGCAACAAGUCACUUGUGAAAUCUCCGGGCUUAACCCGGAGCGGCCAAGUGAUACUGUCGUGCUAGAGUGCGGAAGGGGCUACUGGAAUUCUCGGUGUAGCGGUGAAAUGCGUAGAUAUCGAGAGGAACACCUGCGGCGAAGGCGGGUAGCUGGGCCGACACUGACGCUGAGGCGCGAAAGCCAGGGGAGCGAACGGG
This 253-nucleotide ribosomal RNA is filed under the name uncultured bacterium. RNAcentral's name for it is "partial 16S ribosomal RNA". It matches the Rfam family "Bacterial small subunit ribosomal RNA", at positions 524 to 776 of the family's 1533-position model. The record is from RNAcentral.